Molecule: transfer RNA, 44 nt
Filed under: Trillium camschatcense
Lineage: Eukaryota; Viridiplantae; Streptophyta; Magnoliopsida; Liliales; Melanthiaceae
Also listed under: 1 other name
Description: partial tRNA-Leu
Source: RNAcentral
UCUUAUUCCAAUUCCAACCCAAGUGUUUUGGAUAGCUACGAUAC